RNAcentral lists this ribosomal RNA (440 nucleotides) under Clavibacter sepedonicus. RNAcentral's name for it is "bacterial SSU rRNA". It matches the Rfam family "Bacterial small subunit ribosomal RNA", at positions 19 to 457 of the family's 1533-position model. RNAcentral also lists the same sequence under 1 other name. The record is from RNAcentral. Lineage: Bacteria; Bacillati; Actinomycetota; Actinomycetes; Micrococcales; Microbacteriaceae.
CUGGCUCAGGACGAACGCUGGCGGCGUGCUUAACACAUGCAAGUCGAACGGUGAUGUCAGAGCUUGCUCUGGCGGAUCAGUGGCGAACGGGUGAGUAACACGUGAGUAACCUGCCCCCGACUCUGGGAUAACUGCUAGAAAUGGUAGCUAAUACCGGAUAUGACGAUUGGCCGCAUGGUCUGGUCGUGGAAAGAAUUUCGGUUGGGGAUGGACUCGCGGCCUAUCAGGUUGUUGGUGAGGUAAUGGCUCACCAAGCCUACGACGGGUAGCCGGCCUGAGAGGGUGACCGGCCACACUGGGACUGAGACACGGCCCAGACUCCUACGGGAGGCAGCAGUGGGGAAUAUUGCACAAUGGGCGAAAGCCUGAUGCAGCAACGCCGCGUGAGGGAUGACGGCCUUCGGGUUGUAAACCUCUUUUAGUAGGGAAGAAGCGAAAGU